Molecule: long non-coding RNA, 1126 nt
Organism: Neofelis nebulosa (Clouded leopard)
Lineage: Eukaryota; Metazoa; Chordata; Mammalia; Carnivora; Felidae
Exons: 2
Source: RefSeq, a predicted model, not a curated record
GAAAGACUUUUUUAUGUAAUACCAACACUUUGAACAGUCGACACUUCUUCCAAUAUGUACAGCCACUUCUGAUAUUUAUCAAGUUUCCACAUUUGAAUGGGUUUUGUGUUCUCUAGUCAGUUCAUUGGUCCAUUGUCAACCCCUGUGCUAUUAGAACCACAUUGUCCUUGGUAAUGCAAGCUAGUGCAGUCACUUUGGAAAACUGUAUGGAGGUUCCUCAAAAAACUAAAAAUAGAACUACCCUAUGACCUAGCAAUGGCACUGCUAGGUAUUUAUCCAUGGGAUACAGGUGUGCUGUUUCAAAGGGACACAUGUACCCCAAUGUUUACAGCAGCACUAUCAACAAUAGCCAAAGUAUGGAAAGAGCCCAAAUGCUCAUCGACGGAUGAAUGGAUAAAGAAGAUGAGGUAUAUAUAUACGAUGGAGUAUUACUCAGCAAUCAAAAAGAAUGAAAUCUUGCCAUUUGCAACUAUGUGGAUGGAACUGGAGGGUAUUAUCUUAAGCGAAAUUAGUCAGAGAAAGACAAAAAUCAUGUGACUUCACUCAUAUGAGAACUUUAAGAGACAAACAUGAACAUAAGGGAAGGGAAACAAAAAUAAUAUAAAAACAGGGAGGGGAACAAAACAUAAGAGACUCAUAAAUAUGGAGAACAAAUCGAGGGUUACUGGAAGGGGUGUAGGAGGGGGGAUGGGCUAACUGGGUAAGGGGCAUCAAGGAAUCUUCUCCUGAAAUAAUUGUUGCACUAUAUGCUAAUUUGGAGAUAAAUUAAAAAAAAUAAAUUUAAUAAAUUAUAUAAACAUUAAAAUUACACUGCGUGAAAGAAACUUGUCAUAAAAGACGAAGUCCUGUAUAAUCUUAUUUAAAUAAAAUUCCCAAACAUAAACUCACAUAUAGUCAUGGAAGCGCCCCAGUAGUGGCUUUUAAGGUGAGGGAGAUGAGGGAACAGAAAAAGAGACACAGAAGAACUUUCUAAUAUGAUGAAAUACUUGUAUAUGUUGUUUUCUGUGAUCACAGCAGUGUAAACAAUUGUCACAACUCUUUUAUCACCUAAGAUCUCUGCAUUUGUUGUAUAAAAAAUAUUGUACUCGGAUUUUUUAAGUAUCAAUUAAAACAUGUAUUAGCAGAA